Molecule: long non-coding RNA, 1927 nt
Organism: Antechinus flavipes (yellow-footed antechinus)
Lineage: Eukaryota; Metazoa; Chordata; Mammalia; Dasyuromorphia; Dasyuridae
Exons: 3
Source: RefSeq, a predicted model, not a curated record
GGGACGGGGCAGCAGAGCGCUGGGGGGGAGAGAGGAGGAGGGAUAGGGGGCGGGAAGAGCGGGAGGCUGAGAGGCGGGGACAGAGUUGCGGGAGGGACAGUGGAGAGAGACCUGGAAUGGGGGAGAGGCGGAAAAGUGCGGGAGGGUGCGGAGCGGGAAGCUAUGUGUGGGGAGAAGAGUGGGGGUGACCUGGAAGGAGGGAAGUAACUGGAGGCAGAAGGAAGAAGCAGGAGUGAGGGAGACCUGGAAGGGAGAAAGAGGGGAAAAUGAAGAGACCUGGAAGUGAGGAGAGGGGGAAGUGCGGGAGGUGAGAAGCGGGAGGCUGUGGGAGGGGAAAAGAGAGCCGGAGGGAGUGGGGAGAGAAGCAGGAGGCUGCGGAAACAGGAGGCGGGGAGACCUGGAAGGGGCAAAGGAACUGCAGGCAGAAGGGAGGAAGAAGCAGGAGUGGGGGACAAGUGGAGGGAGAAGGGAGAGAGGUGGCCCAGGGAGGGUGCGGAGGGGGGAGGAGGAGCCCCCCUUCUCCGCCUGACCUCCCCAGCCCAGGUGGGCCGUGUUAGGGAAGCUCUCCGACCUCGGCAUCCCCAACAUCUGCGGGAUGGAGUGGAGGGAGCCCCCAGGUUGGAAUCACUGAGCCAGAGUUCGAAUCCAGCCUGAGUGGUCCACCUAUAUGACGUGGAACGAGCCCCUUCUCUAGGAGUCUGUUUCCUUUCUUGGUAAAAUAAAAGGACUGGACCAGAGCCGGCCUUGUGAACCUGGGACCCCUGAGGCCCGAACUGUUCCGUAACCGUCGCGCUAAGUGGUUUCCUUGGUAGUCCCCCGUAGUUCCUAUUAGGGGUUCUGGUUUCUCCAGACUGCACACAAAGCAGGGACACUAGACUCGGGACUCCCUCAGCUUGCUUCCUUCCCUCCCAACAUCCUGUGACUCAUUAAACGGGGCGGGCGCUAGGGAUGAAAAGCAGACCCUGUCCGCAGAGAGCCUUUGGGGGAGGGAGGGAGGCGGACACGAGGGGUAAACAACCCUGGAAACCAAGGAGAGGGAUGAGGGGGGCUCCACGAAAACAGAAUAUUCCGCCUCCUCUAACCUACAUUGUCUUCUGGCUGGCUUGCCACCUGCACCAACUGGAUCAAAUGGGCCAAGCGAAGAGCAAGCUGACCUCAGAUUUAGAGGCGACCAAGCAGAGGGUCUGAAUAUGAGCUCAGCCCCUCGAGUCUGCCCCUCCUCACAAUUGCUUCCUGAAAAUUAUCUAGACGGCUAAAUUACUUGAAUAACAACCAUGUUUGAGAUAGAGGGGCUGUAAGUUAUUAUCUAGUCCAAUCCCCCCCCCCCUUACAGAUGAGAAAACUGAUUUUAAAGAUGUUGAACAAUUUGCCUGGCACCACACCACAAUUCAUAUUGGAACCCAGUUCUCUGACUCCAAAUCCGAUUUUCUUCCCAUUGGAUGGUUGCAUGGAUGGAUGGGAGCUAUCCUAUUAGAAUCUGUCAACUGAAACUUAGUCAUGCAUUAACUUCAAUGGUUUGGGUCAGCCUUCUUUCCAGCUUUCUCCUGCCGUAGGACAACCCUACUCCUUUGCCAGAGACUUGUUUUCAAGGGAAUGGAUGCCCACCAUUGGUCUCCUAAUUAAUGCCUUUCCAUCUCUCAAGACCAUACCCACUGCAAUCAUCAGAGUUUAUCUUGAAUAUUUGCCUAAGGCCUGCUUCCCUUGGGAAGAGGGAAGGCUGUUCCUGGCCAAUGGACCAUGGACUUGACUGGCUGGCUAUAGCUGUUUCCCACGAUCUGGGCAGAGUUCCAGAAUUAAACUGCAGUGAAGGACAGAGGGAUGAAUAUCAGGGACAGCCUCAAGAAAUCAAGGCCAGGCCAGUCUUAGAAAAUGAGACAACCAGAGCCCUAUUGAAGUGGGUGAGCCAACCAAACAUGAAAAUGGAAAU